GACGAACGCUGGCGGCGUGCCUAAUACAUGCAAGUCGAACGCACUCUCGUUUAGAUUGAAGGAGUUUGCUCCUGAUUGAUAAACAUUUGAGUGAGUGGCGGACGGGUGAGUAACACGUGGGUAACCUGCCCUAAAGUGGGGGAUAACAUUUGGAAACAGAUGCUAAUACCGCAUAAAACUUAACACCGCAUGGUGUAGGGUUGAAAGAUGGUUUCGGCUAUCACUUUAGGAUGGACCCGCGGUGCAUUAGUUAGUUGGUGAGGUAAAGGCUCACCAAGACCGUGAUGCAUAGCCGACCUGAGAGGGUAAUCGGCCACACUGGGACUGAGACACGGCCCAGACUCCUACGGGAGGCAGCAGUAGGGAAUCUUCCACAAUGGACGAAAGUCUGAUGGAGCAACGCCGCGUGAGUGAAGAAGGUUUUCGGAUCGUAAAACUCUGUUGUUGGAGAAGAAUGUAUCUGAUAGUAACUGAUCAGGUAGUGACGGUAUCCAACCAGAAAGCCACGGCU
This 511-nucleotide ribosomal RNA is filed under the name uncultured bacterium. Its description in RNAcentral is "bacterial SSU rRNA". It matches the Rfam family "Bacterial small subunit ribosomal RNA", at positions 28 to 498 of the family's 1533-position model. The record is from RNAcentral.